This 409-nucleotide ribosomal RNA is filed under the name uncultured bacterium. Its description in RNAcentral is "bacterial SSU rRNA". It matches the Rfam family "Bacterial small subunit ribosomal RNA", at positions 509 to 916 of the family's 1533-position model. The record is from RNAcentral.
CAGCCGCCGCGGUAAUACGGAGGGUGCGAGCGUUAAUCGGAAUUACUGGGCGUAAAGCGUGCGUAGGCGGUUAAUUAAGUCAGAUGUGAAAGCCCCGGGCUUAACCUGGGAACGGCAUUUGAUACUGGUUAACUAGAGUUUAAUAGAGGGGAGUGGAAUUUCAGGUGUAGCGGUGAAAUGCGUAGAUAUCUGAAGGAACACCAGUGGCGAAGGCGACUCCCUGGAUUAAAACUGACGCUGAGGUACGAAAGCGUGGGUAGCAAACAGGAUUAGAUACCCUGGUAGUCCACGCCGUAAACGAUGUCAACUAGCCGUUGGUCCUAUUUACAGGAUUAGUGGCGCAGCUAACGCAUUAAGUUGACCGCCUGGGGAGUACGGCCGCAAGGUUAAAACUCAAAGGAAUUGACGG